GAUGGACGCUGGCGGCGUGCCUAAUACAUGCAAGUCGAGCGAACAGACAAGGAGCUUGCUCCUCUGACGUUAGCGGCGGACGGGUGAGUAACACGUGGAUAACCUACCUAUAAGACUGGGAUAACUUCGGGAAACCGGAGCUAAUACCGGAUAAUAUAUUGAACCGCAUGGUUCAAUAGUGAAAGACGGUUUUGCUGUCACUUAUAGAUGGAUCCGCGCCGCAUUAGCUAGUUGGUAAGGUAACGGCUUACCAAGGCAACGAUGCGUAGCCGACCUGAGAGGGUGAUCGGCCACACUGGAACUGAGACACGGUCCAGACUCCUACGGGAGGCAGCAGUAGGGAAUCUUCCGCAAUGGGCGAAAGCCUGACGGAGCAACGCCGCGUGAGUGAUGAAGGUCUUCGGAUCGUAAAACUCUGUUAUUAGGGAAGAAUAAAUGUGUAAGUAACUAUGCACGUCUUGACGGUACCUAAUCAGAAAGCCACGGCUAACUACGUG
This 497-nucleotide ribosomal RNA is filed under the name uncultured bacterium. RNAcentral describes it as "partial 16S ribosomal RNA". It matches the Rfam family "Bacterial small subunit ribosomal RNA", at positions 28 to 507 of the family's 1533-position model. The record is from RNAcentral.